This 363-nucleotide ribosomal RNA is filed under the name uncultured eukaryote. Its description in RNAcentral is "partial 18S ribosomal RNA". It matches the Rfam family "Eukaryotic small subunit ribosomal RNA", at positions 592 to 976 of the family's 1831-position model. The record is from RNAcentral.
CAAUAGCGUAUAUUAUUGAUGUUGCAGUUGAAACGUUCGUAGUCGGAUUUAAUUUGCUGCAGUACUUUUUCAUUGCUGAUGAUUUUGUGCUUGCCGCAGAUAUUUUGCAAGAGGAACUUGUUUUCCACAAGCUCGCCUUUUGCACUUUACUUUGAGUGAAUCGGCGUGCUUCACGCAGGCAAUCGCCUUGAACGAUUUACCAUUGUCUAACCAGAAUGUGAAAAGCUUCCUUGUCGCUUCGGAGCGUUUUCUACACUGAUAGGAACGGUUGAGGGCAUUCGUAUUCGACUGCUAGAGGUGAAAUUCUUUGAUUAGUCGAGGAUGAACUACCGCGAAAGCUUCUGCCAAAGACGUUUCCUUUGA